GAUGAACGCUGGCGGCGUGCCUAAUACAUGCAAGUCGAGCGAACGGACGAGAAGCUUGCUUCUCUGAUGUUAGCGGCGGACGGGUGAGUAACACGUGGAUAACCUACCUAUAAGACUGGGAUAACUUCGGGAAACCGGAGCUAAUACCGGAUAAUAUUUUGAACCGCAUGGUUCAAAAGUGAAAGACGGUCUUGCUGUCACUUAUAGAUGGAUCCGCGCUGCAUUAGCUAGUUGGUAAGGUAACGGCUUACCAAGGCAACGAUGCAUAGCCGACCUGAGAGGGUGAUCGGCCACACUGGAACUGAGACACGGUCCAGACUCCUACGGGAGGCAGCAGUAGGGAAUCUUCCGCAAUGGGCGAAAGCCUGACGGAGCAACGCCGCGUGAGUGAUGAAGGUCUUCGGAUAGUAAAGCUCUGUUAUUAGGGAAGAACAUAUGUGUAAGUAACUGUGCACAUCUUGACGGUACCUAAUCAAAAAGCCACGGCUAACUACGUG
Molecule: ribosomal RNA, 497 nt
Filed under: uncultured bacterium
Lineage: Bacteria
Description: partial 16S ribosomal RNA
Rfam family: Bacterial small subunit ribosomal RNA
Source: RNAcentral